This 596-nucleotide ribosomal RNA is filed under the name uncultured archaeon. Its description in RNAcentral is "bacterial SSU rRNA". It matches the Rfam family "Archaeal small subunit ribosomal RNA", at positions 403 to 999 of the family's 1478-position model. The record is from RNAcentral.
CGGGCUGUCCAUUGGUUUAAUACCCAUUGAAGAAAGGGCCGGGCAAGACCGGUGCCAGCCGCCGCGGUAAUACCGGCGGCUCGAGUGGUGGCCACUAUUACUGGGCUUAAAGCGUUCGUAGCUGGUUUGUUAAGUCUCUGGGGAAAUCUUCCGGCUUAACCGGAAGGCGUCUCAGGGAUACUGGCAGACUAGGGACCGGGAGAGGUGAGGGGUACUCCAGGGGUAGGAGUGAAAUCCUGUAAUCCUUGGGGGACCACCUGUGGCGAAGGCGCCUCACCAGAACGGCUCCGACAGUGAGGGACGAAAGCUGGGGGAGCAAACCGGAUUAGAUACCCGGGUAGUCCCAGCUGUAAACGAUGCGCGUUAGGUGUAUCGGUGACCACGAGUCACCGAGGUGCCGAAGAGAAAUCGUGAAACGUGCCGCCUGGGAAGUACGGUUGCAAGGCUGAAACUUAAAGGAAUUGGCGGGGGAGCACCACAACAGGUGGAGCCUGCGGUUUAAUCGGACUCAACGCCGGGAAACUCACCAGUUAAGACAGCUGAAUGAUAGUCGGGCUGAAGACUCUACUUGACUAGCUGAGAGGUGGUGCAUGGCC